RNAcentral lists this ribosomal RNA (449 nucleotides) under uncultured bacterium. RNAcentral describes it as "partial 16S ribosomal RNA". It matches the Rfam family "Bacterial small subunit ribosomal RNA", at positions 29 to 523 of the family's 1533-position model. The record is from RNAcentral.
AACGAACGCUGGCGGCAUGCCUAACACAUGCAAGUCGAACGAGAUCUUCGGGUCUAGUGGCGCACGGGUGCGUAACGCGUGGGAAUCUGCCCUUUGGUUCGGAAUAACAGUUGGGAACGACUGCUAAUACCGGAUGAUGACGAAAGUCCAAAGAUUUAUCGCCAGAGGAUGAGCCCGCGUAGGAUUAGCUAGUUGGUGUGGUAAAGGCGCACCAAGGCGACGAUCCUUAGCUGGUCUGAGAGGAUGAUCAGCCACACUGGGACUGAGACACGGACCAGACUCCUACGGGCGGCAGCAGUGGGGAAUAUUGGACAAUGGGCGAAGGCCUGAUCCAGCAAUGCCGCGUGAGUGAUGAAGGCCUUAGGGUUGUAAAGCUCUUUUACCCGGGAUGAUAAUGACAGUACCGGGAGAAUAAGCUCCGGCUAACUCCGUGCCAGCCGCCGCCGUAA